RNAcentral lists this small nuclear RNA (315 nucleotides) under Jaculus jaculus (lesser Egyptian jerboa). Its description in RNAcentral is "7SK RNA (ENSJJAG00000009190.1)". It matches the Rfam family "7SK RNA". From Rfam's summary of the family: 7SK was discovered as an abundant small nuclear RNA in the mid-70s but a possible function has only recently been suggested. Two independent studies have found that 7SK RNA binds the CDK9/cyclin T complex (known as elongation factor P-TEFb). Lineage: Eukaryota; Metazoa; Chordata; Mammalia; Rodentia; Dipodidae. The record is from Rfam by way of RNAcentral.
GUACAGUGCUGGCUGCUGUAGGACAUUUCUGUGACUCUAUAAAGAUCCAUAGAUUGAUUCGGCUGAUCUGGCUGGCAAGGAGGGUGUCCUCGACCUCCCUCACUGCUCCAUGUGCGUUUCUCCUGAAGCCGUGUGCUCGGUCCCAGAGGACGACUUUCCCCGACUAGAGGAGGACGGGUCUUCGGUCAAGGGUUACGAGAGGCUGUGCUCCCCUGCUCGGAACUCCAAACAAGCUCUCAAGAACAAAGGACUGUAAGAGAAAUGAGUGAGGUGGAGGCUGGAGUUGUGGCUCCAUUGGUAGAGUGCUUGUUUAGU